AUAAACAAACCCAGCCACCACCAUCACCAUCUCCGUCGCCACCUUCGCUCCAGCACCACCUCCACUAAUCUCAUCACCAAUUCUCGCAUCACCUCCUAUACUUCCGCCAAAACCUCCUGAAUAAUCAGUCUGAAUUGGUUUUCACUUGGUUAAAACCUAAUCUAAAGCAUCAGAAACAUCAAACUUAUCUCGAUUUCAACUGGAUUUGGCAUGAAGAACCUAAAAUCGAUGAUUGCAGUUUGUUAUUACAGACUGUUUCGCAUCGAUAUGGAAGAGGAAAUGAAUAUCGUCAUCAAUUUAUUGGAUCCGAAGAUUAAAUCAUCCAAAACGAUUGUAAAUUUAUCUUCUUUCUCUUGCUUGAAGUUUCUACUGGUGGUGGUGGUACUGUAAGUGGUGGUGAUGUAGAUAGAAAGAUUGAUGGAGAUUUUGGUGGUUCCGGUUGGAAUGGUGAAAUUUGGCUAUUGAGAUAGUGGUGGUUAAAAUUGUUUGUUAUGGUGGUGGUUGUUGGAGAUUGUCUUCCGGAUGCGAAUAUACAAAUGAUGGCGGUGGAGCUUAUUCCCAAGCUGCUGAUUUGAUUAUUUUGGUAAUCGCGAUAUCAUACAUUUUCAAAGGGUUUCACAUUGGAUAACUGGCUUAGAAAUUGGUGGAAAAAUCACACAGGCUCUCAUGAAUCACUUCAUGUAUGCUACUGGAGGGCUUCUCGCGGGGUUCAUUAUCACUGCAAAAGACUAAAAUGAACCUCAUUUGCGUGACUAGUACUUCUGUAAGUUUAUCUCAAUGAGAGCUAUGAUUUUUGUCGAGGUUUAAACGAUAUAUAUAUAUAUAUAUAUAUAUAUUGUGAUGUUUCUUUAUGUUGAAUGAAGUAAACGAUACCCUCAUCAUAUGCAUUUCCCUACUCUUUUGUAGUCA
This is a long non-coding RNA of Papaver somniferum (opium poppy), 909 nucleotides long. RefSeq lists it as uncharacterized. Lineage: Eukaryota; Viridiplantae; Streptophyta; Magnoliopsida; Ranunculales; Papaveraceae. The transcript is spliced from 2 exons. The record is from RefSeq and is a predicted model, not a curated record.